Molecule: ribosomal RNA, 464 nt
Filed under: uncultured bacterium
Lineage: Bacteria
Description: partial 16S ribosomal RNA
Rfam family: Bacterial small subunit ribosomal RNA
Source: RNAcentral
CUACGGGCGGCUGCAGUGGGGAAUAUUGCACAAUGGGCGCAAGCCUGAUGCAGCCAUGCCGCGUGUAUGAAGAAGGCCUUCGGGUUGUAAAGUACUUUCAGCGGGGAGGAAGGGAGUAAAGUUAAUACCUUUGCUCAUUGACGUUACCCGCAGAAGAAGCACCGGCUAACUCCGUGCCAGCAGCCGCGGUAAUACGGAGGGUGCAAGCGUUAAUCGGAAUUACUGGGCGUAAAGCGCACGCAGGCGGUUUGUUAAGUCAGAUGUGAAAUCCCCGGGCUCAACCUGGGAACUGCAUCUGGUACUGGGAAGCUUGAGUCUCGUAGAGGGGGGUAGAAUUCCAGGUGUAGCGGUGAAAUGCGUAGAGAUCUGGAGGAAUACCGGUGGCGAAGGCGGCCCCCUGGACGAAGACUGACGCUCAGGUGCGAAAGCGUGGGGAGCAAACAGGAUUAGAUACCCCGGUAGUC